RNAcentral lists this unclassified non-coding RNA (352 nucleotides) under Klebsiella oxytoca. RNAcentral's name for it is "partial 16S-23S ribosomal RNA intergenic spacer". The stretch from base 240 to 345 matches the Rfam family "Salmonella enterica Typhi npcRNA 44". Lineage: Bacteria; Pseudomonadati; Pseudomonadota; Gammaproteobacteria; Enterobacterales; Enterobacteriaceae. The record is from RNAcentral.
CCUUAAAGAACCUGCCUUUGUAGUGCUCACACAGAUUGUCUGAUAAAUGUAAAGAAGCAAGACGGCUGGCAAGUCACGACUCCUCGUGUCCCCUUCCUCUAGCGGUUAGGACUCCGCCCUUUCACGGCGGCAACAGGGGUUCAAAUCCCCUAGGGAACCCCCCUUGCUGGCUGUGAGUGAAAGGCACAACCAACCGAUAUCUCAAAACUCAUCUUCGGGUGACGUUUGAAAUAUUUGCUCUUUAAAAAUCUGGAUCAAGCUGAAAAUUGAAACGACACACUGUUCAAGUGUGUUCGAGUCUCUCAAAUUUUCGCGACACGACAAUGUUUUACGAAACAUCUUCGGGUUGUGA